Molecule: ribosomal RNA, 429 nt
Filed under: Fragilariales sp. endosymbiont of Amphistegina lessonii
Lineage: Eukaryota; Bacillariophyta; Fragilariophyceae; Fragilariales
Description: SSU rRNA
Rfam family: Eukaryotic small subunit ribosomal RNA
Source: RNAcentral
AUAGUUGGGCGAAUGAAUGUUCAUUGGCUACAGCUUCUUAGAGGGACGUGCGUUCUAUUAGACGCAGGAAGAUAGGGGCAAUAACAGGUCUGUGAUGCCCUUAGAUGUCCUGGGCCGCACGCGCGUUACACUGAUGCACUCAACGAGUCUACCUUGGCCGAGAGGCCUGGGAAAUCUUGUUAACAUGCAUCGUGAUAGGGAUAGAUUAUUGCAAUUAUUAAUCUUGAACGAGGAAUUCCUAGUAAACGCAGAUCAUCAAUCUGCAUUGAUUACGUCCCUGCCCUUUGUACACACCGCCCGUCGCACCUACCGAUUGAAUGGUCCGGUGAAGCCUCGGGAUUGCGAUGAGUUUCCUUCAUUGGGAGUUCGUCGCGAGAACCUGUCUAAACCUUAUCAUUUAGAGGAAGGUGAAGUCGUAACAAGGUUUCC